CUACGGAGGGUGCAAGCGUUACUCGGAAUCACUGGGCGUAAAGCGCGCGCAGGCGGCUAUUUAAGUUGGAUGUGAAAGCCUACGGCUCAACCGUAGAACUGCAUCCAAAACUAUUUAGCUUGAGUGUGGGAGAGGAAGAUGGAAUUAGUUGUGUAGGGGUAAAAUCCGUAGAGAUAACUAGGAAUACCAAAAGCGAAGGCAAUCUUCUGGAACACUACUGACGCUGAGGCGCGAAAGCGUGGGGAGCAAACGGGAUUAGAAACCCUAGUAGUCC
Molecule: ribosomal RNA, 274 nt
Filed under: uncultured bacterium
Lineage: Bacteria
Description: partial 16S ribosomal RNA
Rfam family: Bacterial small subunit ribosomal RNA
Source: RNAcentral